This 288-nucleotide ribosomal RNA is filed under the name Triticum aestivum (bread wheat). RNAcentral describes it as "partial small subunit ribosomal RNA". The record is from RNAcentral. Lineage: Eukaryota; Viridiplantae; Streptophyta; Magnoliopsida; Poales; Poaceae.
AUGGCUCCAGGUUCACCUACCCUCGCUCUCAAAGUGGCCACCAUUGCUACCAUGCUUGCCAUGGUGAUCCUUCCAUCCGUGGGGAGCUCCCCGUCGCUGGGCCAAGAAGAACUAGUAACGACCCCGGCACCAGCAUCGGGUCCGGUGCAGCGAGUGUGGCCCACACUGCACAGAGAUGUGCACAGUCUCUGUUCCCCCGAUGUGCCGCAAGUACUGCAAAGUCCCCAGCUGCGAGGACUGCCGGUCUUGCGCGAUCGGCAAGUGCAGGGCCGGUUGCACCACUGGUAG